AUGAACUCUUCCGCACCCUCCCAAGAGCUCGAAUCCCUCCCAACGGCCCAUGCAUUUAUGACGACACGAGUUCCAGCAGGAACCAUGUAUCCAUGGAUGGUACAAUCAGCCAUGGCAAGGUGCGGAGCAAGGAGAGGCGCAACAGGAUACAACCUGAGAGGCUUUUUUAUUACUGCUCUUAGGUACACCAUGUUGUUCAUGUCAGAUUGGCUCACAAUUUCUUGUCCCCCGGGUAUGAUACUCCUCACUUCGUCUUGUAGCUUCCCCAUGAAGUGUGGCUUCCUCAUGAGCUCAGCCAAAGUGAAUUCGAGGACGUUAGCUGANNNNNNNNNNGUGUCUGUUGCACCGAAAAAUACAUCCUGUGGAUAA
RNAcentral lists this ribosomal RNA (369 nucleotides) under Triticum aestivum (bread wheat). RNAcentral's name for it is "partial small subunit ribosomal RNA". The record is from RNAcentral. Lineage: Eukaryota; Viridiplantae; Streptophyta; Magnoliopsida; Poales; Poaceae.